This 3554-nucleotide unclassified non-coding RNA is filed under the name Leishmania donovani. Its description in RNAcentral is "gene:LdHU3.32.2680(CDS-product:Ras-related_protei n_RAB2B_putative)". The record is from RNAcentral. Lineage: Eukaryota; Euglenozoa; Kinetoplastea; Trypanosomatida; Trypanosomatidae.
AAGAACAGCCAACCGAUAAAAAGGCCUAGCUCUACUACCUCUGCUUGUGCUGCUGCGUCAAAACACGUGAAGCCGUCAUCCAGAAGAUUCUUUGCCCGUUUCGCGAUUUGGCGUGUCCCCAUCGAUCCGUUGCUGCCGUGCGUGUCUCUCUUUUUGUCUCUCUGUUCGUCGGCUCCUUUGCUGUUGCCACCCACUCAUCAUCUACUCUCCUGUAUACGCGCUCCCAUCGCGCCACUGCUCUUCCGUUCUGUUUCCACUUUACAUUUUUCUCUUCGCUUGCCACUCUCAGCGGCGGUGUGUGCAAACCACAGUAUUAUCUGUUUUAGUAGUGAACUCCCUCCCGCCACUGCCCCAGCUGCUCAUCCCGCGUGUGCCGGUGUGCGCGUGCUUGCGAGCUCGUUCACGUAUCUUCUUUUUCCCCGCAUCGGCACUUCGCCGCAGAAAAAAAAAAUGUCGCAGAGCAACUACGUGUUCAAAUACAUCAUUAUCGGCGACAGCGGCGUUGGCAAGAGCUGUCUGCUGCUCCAGUUCACGGACAAGCGCUUCGAGCCGUUACACGACUUGACCAUCGGCGUAGAGUUUGGGGCGCGGCUCAUCUCCAUCCAAGGCAAGAGUGUCAAGCUGCAGAUUUGGGAUACGGCUGGGCAGGAGAGCUUCCGUAGCAUCACCCGUAGCUACUACCGCGGUGCUAGCGGGGCUCUGCUCGUCUACGACGUCACCCGACGCGAUACCUUCACGCACCUGCAGAGCUGGCUGGAGGAUGCCAAGGCAAACGCGAACACGGCACUUGUGAUUAUGCUGAUUGGUAACAAGUGCGACCUCGAGAGCAAACGCCAGGUGAGCCGAGAGGAAGGAGAGGCGUUUGCGCGCUGCAAUGGGCUGAUGUUUAUGGAAACGAGCGCCAAGACAUCGCAGAACGUCGACGAUGCUUUCCUGCAGACGGCAGCGCUCAUCUACGACAACGUGCAGCUUGGCAUGAUCGAUGCGUCUGUCGUCUCUGGACGUCCAGCGACGCAGGUGAACAACGCACAUUUGCAGAAUGCGCUUGCCAACAACAACAACAGAAACAGCGGGUGCGCAUGCUAGAUGAGGAGAAUGCAAAGAAGCAUGCGGAUGCGAAAACGCGGCGAUUCGGGGGAGCUGGCAGCACCGAUCCGGAGGCGUGGUGAUAUUUUGGAAAGGUGUGCCUUACUCCCUACGUGCUCGCAAACGUCUCAGGCUAGCGCCUGAGAGGGCGUGCCGGCUGCGCGUCUCCCUAACCUCAGCUUCACUUUAUUUUCGCGAAUAUGUCUUUUUGGCCGGCUCCUUUUUUCUUUGCCCUUUGAGAUGAUGGCGUUUGCUCGAUCGCGUGUGCGCGAGCGAGUGAUGUGUGUUGCGGUAGGGGUAGUCGUGGAUCGGUGUGUAGGGAGUUCUUUGUCGUGUUUUGUUUCUUUGUUUCUCGAUGCGCUUGCUCUGCUGCUCUUCCUUCUUUUUUUUUUAGUGUUUGGAUGCCGCCUAACUCCCAACUUCACCCCCUCUUCCUCGUGCGCUCCGUGCUUUCACUGUUGAGGAGUUAUUACUCGGUUGCUUCGAGCGUGUGUGAUCUCUUGCGCAUGUAUUGCUCGGCGUGCCAUCUGCGUGUUCAUUGUUUUCGGGGAGUGCGACAAGGAGGUGUGUGUGUGUGUGCUGCUGUUCUGUAUCUUGCCUCUUUUCGCUUGCUCUUGUCUUCGUUGUUUUCUUCAGCUUCUCUGGCGAAAAGGUGUGUAGCUGUGGCGCGAGGCACGUGCGCCAUUGCACGAUGGCCAUCCUCCUUUGUGGGUUCGCGCCGCUGCUCGAGCGAGUGAGUCUGUAGGUGGGCGCUUUCGUGACUGCAGUCGGUUGCUGUGGUCGGCGCCUUGUCUGCGGACUCGUGGGCAGCUCUCUUAUCGGCUCCUCGGCGCCUUUUCGUCUCCUUAUCCUUCGCACUGCCUGUUCCUGUGGGCGUGACCUGUGCAUUGUGUGCUGUCGAGGGCUCCUCAAUGAAGGGACAAUAUGGAGAGGUCAAGACAAGCGCGCGGGAGGCGAGAUGGCGAUGAUGUACCUUGUUCUGUGUCUCUGUAUAUAUGUGCGGGCCCAUCUCUGUUUUCCUCCGCUUCUGUGCCGCGUGUGCGAUUCCAUGCUUUGGGCCGACGUCCUUCUUUGCUGCCGCUGUUCUGGCUCUUGCUGUUGUGGCUGCCGAUGCAUAGGAGCGUGUGUCUGCCUCUUCCCUCUUCCCUCUUCCCUUCUCUUCCCCCUUUUGGGAUUUGGACGUUAGCCGUCUUCCCGUUUCUUUGUUUGUUUGCCUCCUUUUUCUCGCUUCUGCUGCGUAGAUGCUGCUGAAGACAUCAGCGAUGUUUCCACGAAGCACACAGACACACACAUGCAUGCAUACAUGCAUACCCGCAGUUGUGCUGCUUGCCUAGCUCUUUCGUUUUGUUGCUGCCGCAUAGGUGGCCGAACUUUCGGAGCGGCGAUGAUUUCGCUGCAUCCCUAUGCACGUGCGCGUGCCGGGAAGAUGUGGCCGCCACCGUUCAAUCCCAAGGGAGCAAUGAGCCGCCCUUCUCACAGGGAGGGAGGGGGUCGAAUGCGGUUACGAGCAACCGAUGAAUGUUUUGUGCGUACGUGUGCAUGAAAAACUCUGCUGUGGAUGUGGGUGGGAGCGUGAAUGCGGGUUCGCACACCCGUUGCACGCACAUAUGUGCCUUUUCUCUUUGUUCUUUUUUUUGUGGUAUUCGCAUGGCGCACCGUGACGCAUUUUCGGGGAGGUGUUCAACGCCAGACUUCUCUUCCCGCUCUCCUUUCUGGCCGUUCUAUCUUUUAGCUUGCUUUCUAUGCACGCGCUCCUGUCUCUUAUGGCAGUGUGGGGUGGGGAGGCCAGUCUCCAUGCGUGUUAUAUCAAUGCUCAGCGCACCCGCCACUCUGGGAGGAAGCCAGGCAGCCUCCCUAUCCCCUUCCGAUGCACAGCCACCUCUGGUGGUGACAGGGCUGAGUGCCUACGGCGUGGGGGAAGGCCAGAGCGAUGCAUCGCGACUGAUGUGGACGGCCAGGCUCUGCACGGCGCCGCGUCAGAGCGCUCUGCGACGGUGCGCACGCUUGCACUAACCCAUAUGAUUAGGCAGAGUGUCAUCGCGGCUCCAACGCAUCCCACGCCCGGCCCUAACUGCCCACUGGUGUGGGGAGCCCGAGUACCAUCCCUGAUGGUGGACACACACCGUGCGGCGACCGGCAUGAUGGGGGAGCUGCCUGCGAGGCGGCCUGCGAGGCGGCCGUGGUGGGUAGAGUUUGAGGCAGAGGCCAUGCUCAGAUGGCUGAGUCGGCGCAUUGCUGUAGCACGUGCGUCUCACGCUGCUUCGCACCAGGCGAUGCGGUGCCUGUGACGGGCCAGGGGUAGACUGGAGAGUGACUCAUGUGGUACAGCAAAGUGGGCACGUUGAACAUCAUCGAAGAAAAAGCAUCCACUUGCCUCUCCCCACCCGUACCUCUUCCCUCAUGGGCACACUAAACAUAUGCCCGUCUUCUUCUGGCGACGGGGCCUUCCUCUAUGUCUGUUGUUAUAG